UCUCUAGAUUUUAAACGGCACAACGCCGAUCGUGUGGCCUAUGAACGAAAAACGGGAGAAGGGGAAACCGAUAUCCUUCGAGUGACACACACGCAUGCAUCUGCAUGCGUAUUCCGCUGAACCGAGACUACACAUCUCUCUCGAUCUCCCAUGAUUUUUCUGCUAUCGCGCUCAUCCGGGUGUUAGGCAUCCUCAGUCUGUCCAGAACUUUCACUGUGGAAGGAUGUGUUGGAGUGAUGUGUGAUUUCUUGUGCCCCGUACUUUGCUCGUUUACGUUUUGUGCCGUGUUCCUUCUUCUUCAAUUAUGGAAUGAUUUAUCGUUGUAAAUUUCUAAGUUACAGUGCACGCGCAUGUUAAUCGACGGUUGCCAACAUCCCGCAAAACGAUCGACGGAAGGAAAACGGUGUCCGGUUUUAAAAUAUAAAGAUUUCAUUACAGCUCUUUCGUAGAAGAGCGCACUUCAAUGACGCCUAGGAUACGGCUAAACAUGCGCAGCAGCAGUCCGUGACGUCAUUUCCAGACAGGCGCCGGCUGAACACGCGCAGCACCAGUCGAGGAUAUCCUAGAGCAGAGGGUAGAAGGAAGAACAAGAGGAAGGGUAACAGAAAGCAACCGCAGCAUUUGGAAGGGGUGAAGCAUCCUGCCGUAUACAGAGUGUGAGUGUGCCAAAACGCAUGUGGAAAGAGUAACACCAAUAAAUAGCAUGCGAAAGUGUGCAUAAAGCAAAAAGAAAAAGCGUCACUACUACAACCAGCAAUCCGAAAAUAUAAGGGGAGGGAUAAAUACAAAUGUAUGCGUAAGCAGGACCAGCAAUCCAAGCAUUUGAAUGUGUGCGUCGGUUUGUGCCGUGCUGAAAGUUUUUACUUUAGCUGCUGCUAGUGUAAAAACUUAAGGAAAGCUUAAAGUAAAAAAUUUUUACACGGGGCGCCUUCGGAAAUUGUUGGCUGGGUAGUUUAUAAAUAACCGUGAAUGUCGCGAAUAAAAGCUCUCUUCCAAUUUUGCUGCACAACGAAUAACUGCUGGUAAAUAUUAAAGGUUUGAAGGUUACACCGAAACGCGGAAAAUAAAUUAUCCGAAAUAGUGAGAUUAAACAAGCAUAAUUUUGUGCACACUCGAUUGCACAUUCUGUAUGGAAAAAUAGAUUUGCGUCAACUGUCUACAAACGAAAUAGGAAUGAAAAUAACUUGAUACAUACACUAGGAAACUUUGCAACAACUAGUGAUUGAUUGUCUGAAUCGCAUCCACGGCUCAAAACCAUUUCCGAUCAUAGUUAUUCCGACUUCGAAUUCGGCCAAAUCAAACCAACAGUUCCGUUCGGUGCCGUCCGAAGCCUAUAGAGCCGUUUAGAGCCAUUCGGAACCGUUGGAGUCAUCGGUUGUCCCACCGAAUUUGACAAUCUCCAUGCCCCCGACUGCCGAGUAAAGGAUUCAUUCGGCUCCGAUUUUUUUCCGACCUUAGAAUGUUACAUCAUAUUCGAUAUUCGAUUGGAGCCACUUCUGUUUUUUGUCAUAAUCAUGCCACCAGAAAUGUUAAUAAAAAUGAUUGCAGGCAAGUUCGAAUUAUUUGUUCCCAACAUUCUGCAAGACGGAUUAAUGUAAUUUCCAACCUCCCCAAAAAUCAAAUCAAAAAUGAUAUGAUUACGCUUAAGCCUAAAGGUUUUAGAUUAAGGAUAAAAACAAUCGAAAUGCCGAAGCCUUGCAAUACAAAGCUUAUUAAUAGAUUAGCUCACACAGUCCUCAAUUCCUCAAUUCGCAAAUCAUCUCCCUUCAAGUGUCAAAAACAGAUUUGCCAAUCUGUAUGGGAUCACACACCACGACUCUUCGUCAGAUAAAAUUAUCGUAAUUUAAAAAAAGUUAUUCGUAAAAUACGGGUUCUUGUUAUAAGAAAUUAAUAUAUAUUCAGAACACUUGGAACUUGGAAAUUAGCGAAAAAUAAUGUUUAAACACGCGUUAUUACAAUUUUUCUCUUGAUCUAUCAAAAAAUUGCAAGCAAAUAUUUUUGUUAUUCAUCCAGUGAUGGAUAGCUCGGAUUGCUUGAAAAAGAUUCACUACAGGCUGCUAGACUUCUCCUACUUCAGUGAAAAAGUGUGUUUGACAGAUAUUUUUCUCAUAUAAAAAAGAGCACUUAUAAAAAUAACAUCGCGAAUUUGUACAAAACAAACGAUUCCAUAUAAGAAGCGAGGAGUACAAAAGGUCAAUUUGUUUAACAAUACAAAUGUAAAAACGUAUUUUACAUAAACAUUGGGGUAUAUUUUCCAUUCUCAACUUUGCGGCCCGCGAAUCACUGAAAAUUUGUACUUGCGGCCCUCUGAUGAAAUGAGUUUGACACAGCUGUUACAUAUAGCGUAUAUCGAGUAUGGCGUAUAUCGGGGUAUACCUGUCCUUGACCUCGUUGCUACACAGUCCUUGCUCCUUACCGGUCGAUUUUAGUGAUGUGCUGUAUGGAGCGCACCCACGACUCCGGUCCGACUCCGACUAUUUAACUAUUUUAGCUUUUUUAACUACUAUUACUAUACGACUUGCUGGUCUCGUAGUACAGUCGUCAACUCGUACGACUUAACAACAUGCCCGUCAUGGGUUCAAUCCCCAAAUAGACCGCGCCGCCAUACGUAGGAUUGACUAUCCUGCUAUGGGGGGGAAUCAAUUAGUCACUGAAAGCCAAGCCCACAAGUGGGCCGACAUCGGGUCGACUCCGGGUGAUUCCAAACGACUCCGAACGACUCCGGGCGACUCCCGACGACACCGACUCCGGACGACUCCAGACGACUCCGACUCAGGACGACUCCGGAUGACUCCGGGCGACUCCGGACGAUACCGACUCAGGGCGAUUCCGGACGACUCCGGCGAUUUCGGACGAUUCCGAAAGACUCUGGAUAUUACAGCGCGGACCUACCUUCUGGAGUCGAUUCCGAUAUUAUCGGAGUCGGAUCGGAAUCGACUCCGGAUUUUUGCCAACUUUACCCAUC
Anopheles coluzzii is the source of this 2965-nucleotide long non-coding RNA. RefSeq lists it as uncharacterized. The transcript is spliced from 3 exons. The record is from RefSeq and is a predicted model, not a curated record. Lineage: Eukaryota; Metazoa; Arthropoda; Insecta; Diptera; Culicidae.